RNAcentral lists this ribosomal RNA (540 nucleotides) under Trigonopterus rubripennis. RNAcentral describes it as "partial large subunit ribosomal RNA". It matches the Rfam family "Bacterial large subunit ribosomal RNA", at positions 1819 to 2625 of the family's 2925-position model. The record is from RNAcentral. Lineage: Eukaryota; Metazoa; Arthropoda; Insecta; Coleoptera; Curculionidae.
GGCUUGUUGAUAAUAAUUUCAGGUCUGACCUGCCCGAUGAUUUAAAUUGAAUGGCCGCGGUAUAUUGACCGUGCAAAGGUAGCAUAAUCAUUAGUUUUUUAAUUGAAAGCUUGAAUGAAGGGUUUGAUGAGAGAGUUUCUGUCUUUAUAUUAAUUUAUUAGAAUUUUAUUUUUAAGUGAAAAAGCUUAACUGAGUAUAGAAGACGAGAAGACCCUAUAGAGUUUUAUAUUUUUACUUGAAAAUAAGGCUAUUGGUUUAAUAAAGUUAAUUUUUAGUUUAAAUAUUUUAUUGGGGUGAUAAGAAAAUUUAAUAAACUUUUCUUGAUUAAAAACAUUUAUUUAUGAUUAUAUGAUCCUAAUUUUUAGAUUAAAAGAUUAAAUUACCUUAGGGAUAACAGCGUAAUUCUUCUUAGAGUUCUUAUCGAAAGAAGGGAUUGCGACCUCGAUGUUGGAUUAAAAUAAAUUAUUGGUGUAGAAGCUAAUGUAUUGAGUCUGUUCGACUUUUAAAAUUUUACAUGAUCUGAGUUUAAACCGGUGUGAG